AGCAAUUUCACUUGUUUUCAGUAAUUCGAAACUAAGUGACCUGGAAUUUAGUCAACAACAACAACACGCUGAGUGAGAAGUAAACACAUGUACUUCCUGCUUGAAGCAGCCGGCAUUUGACAGAUUUCAACGGUUGUGAUCGAAGGCCUUGUUUUGAGGGUGUUUUGCAGACCAGUGGUUGUCGGCCUGGGGAUUUUCAAGAAAAACUGUAGACUGCCCCCUUAAGGUUAUGACUGAAGGCCUUGUUUUAAGGGUGUUUUGCAGACCAGUGGUUGUCGGCCUGGGGAUUUUCAAGAAAAACUGUAGACUGCCCCCAAACAUUCAGUAUUUAUAGUACCCGGAGCGUAGUGUAACUCAAAGACGAAAGUAUAGGCAAGAAAA
Long non-coding RNA from Dreissena polymorpha, 381 nucleotides. RefSeq lists it as uncharacterized. The transcript is spliced from 3 exons. The record is from RefSeq and is a predicted model, not a curated record. NCBI's taxonomy places the organism in Eukaryota, Metazoa, Mollusca, Bivalvia, Myida, Dreissenidae.